GAUGAACGCUGGCGGCGUGCCUAAUACAUGCAAGUCGAGCGAACGGACGAGAAGCUUGCUUCUCUGAUGUUAGCGGCGGACGGGUGAGUAACACGUGGAUAACCUACCUAUAAGACUGGGAUAACUUCGGGAAACCGGAGCUAAUACCGGAUGAUAUUUUGAACCGCAUGGUUCAAAAGUGAAAGACGGUCUUGCUGUCACUUAUAGAUGGAUCCGCGCUGCAUUAGCUAGUUGGUAAGGUAACGGCCUACCAAGGCAACGAUGCAUAGCCGACCUGAGAGGGAGAUCGGCCACACUGGAACUGAGACACGGUCCAGACUCCUACGGGAGGCAGCAGUAGGGAAUCUUCCGCAAUGGGCGAAAGCCUGACGGAGCAACGCCGCGUGAGUGAUGAAGGUCUUCGGAUCGUAAAACUCUGUUAUUAGGGAAGAACAUAUGUGUAAGUAACUGUGCACAUCUUGACGGUACCUAAUCAGAAAGCCACGGCUAACUACGUG
Molecule: ribosomal RNA, 497 nt
Filed under: uncultured bacterium
Lineage: Bacteria
Description: partial 16S ribosomal RNA
Rfam family: Bacterial small subunit ribosomal RNA
Source: RNAcentral